AUUGAACGCUGGCGGCAUGCCUUACACAUGCAAGUCGAACGGCAGCACGGGUGCUUGCACCUGGUGGCGAGUGGCGAACGGGUGAGUAAUACAUCGGAACGUACCUUAUCGUGGGGGAUAACGCAGCGAAAGCUGUGCUAAUACCGCGUACGCCCUGAGGGGGAAAGCGGGGGAUCGCAAGACCUCGCGCGAUUAGAGCGGCCGAUGCCUGAUUAGCUUGUUGGUGGGGUAAAAGCCCACCAAGGCGACGAUCAGUAGCUGGUCUGAGAGGACGGUCAGCCACACUGGGACUGAGACAGGGCCCAGACUCCUACGGGAGGCAGCAGUGGGGAAUUUUGGACAAUGGGGGCAACCCUGAUCCAGCAAUGCCGCGUGAGUGAAGAAGGCCUUCGGGUUGUAAAGCUCUUUCGUCAGGGAAGAAACACCGGCUCUAACACAGUCCGGGAAUGACGGUACCUGAAGAAUAAGCACCGGCUAACUACGUGCCAGCCGCCGCCGUAA
Molecule: ribosomal RNA, 501 nt
Filed under: uncultured bacterium
Lineage: Bacteria
Description: partial 16S ribosomal RNA
Rfam family: Bacterial small subunit ribosomal RNA
Source: RNAcentral